Molecule: long non-coding RNA, 1260 nt
Filed under: Olea europaea subsp. europaea
Lineage: Eukaryota; Viridiplantae; Streptophyta; Magnoliopsida; Lamiales; Oleaceae
Source: RNAcentral
GUUACGCUCAGAAUUUCAGUUUUGCGAUCUGUCAAUUUCCAUAAAAAAAAAAAAAAAAAAAAAUUGUUCCCAGGGUACUGUUCAUCCGCGGGAAAAAAAAAAAAAAAAAAAAUCUGAGUUGUUAUGUUACUGCUGCUACUUCCUGCAAACCCUAAUCCAUACACAUAAUCAAUUAUUAAUCCAAACAGCCCAUUAUAACACCCAGUCAAAUAUUCUAGUCUCCAAAUCAUUUAACCCGUUACUCAGACUCAAUCUACAUCCACAUGUUCAUAAGUAGCCCAAGUCCUAGAGGUCAUUAUCCACAUCUCAUAUUCAGCCCAAUAAGGCCAUUACAUCAACCCAAUUAUCCAAUCUGGCCAAUAACCCAAUCCUCAGCCCAUUUAUCACAUAUUUAGCCCAACUAACCCAGCCUACUCUCUACGACCCAGGCCCACUCUCCAAACACUAACCCAAACUGGCCCAUCUCUAUAACAGGAUCUAAACCCCUUCCCAUCUGGCCCAGUCCCAAAUAUCUGACCAAGCCCGAUUAUAACCAAUCAAUUAAUAUCAAAUACCUCACAGUUUCACCCGAUUCCUCUCUCACAACCACUCUCUUGCUGCCAUCGCCUCUAAUCACCAUCACGCUACCACUUCAUUAUCUAUUGUACCAAGGCAUCUAGAACACUACCGCUUCAUCGCCAUAGGCCACCACCACCAACCCAAGAUCAUACACUUCCACCACAGUUACCACACUCAUAUAUUUCCUCGUCCAUCUCAACAAUCUAAAAGCCACAGUCACCACACUCAGUUUUACGUUCACACCAGAGCCAACACAAGUUACAGUCAACAGAGGUUAAAACCAUUGGACACGAAGGGAAGAACAGAAGCAUAGUUGGGGUUUAUAAGUUGGCAAUUCAAAUCAAGCGGCAUACAAAUAAUCAAAACUAAACUACAGGGAGUUGCUAUCUCCUAAUUCUCAUUGGUUUAUACUGCUGUUUUAUUUUAAAAGUGCAUCACUUAGAUUCUUUGUGUUGUUGUUACUAUCACAACUUUGGCCUCAAACUUCACUUGACUGGAAUCACUCAUUGAAUUGACUUGCCAUUGUUGCCCCAUUUAUCUCACUGAAUUGAUGUGCCAUUGUUACCUCUUUUAUCUACCUGAUUGAAAAUCUUGACAAUACCAUUUGAUCUUAACAAGCAUUGGACCCUUGCUUUAUUAUUUACAAGUAUCAGCACUAUUAACUUGCAUUUUUGGAAGGGAAGAAGAGAGAGAGAGAGAGAA